AACUCUGGUAUUGAUUGGUGCUUGCAUCAUGAUUUACAUUUGAGUGAGUGGCGAACUGGUGAGUAACAGGUGGGAAACCUGCCCAGAAGCGGGGGAUAACACCUGGAAACAGAUGCUAAUACCGCAUAACAACUUGGACCGCAUGGUCCGAGCUUGAAAGAUGGCUUCGGUUAUCACUUUUGGAUGGUCCCGCGGCGUAUUACCUAAUGGUGGGGUAACGGCUCWCCAUGRSUAUGAUACGUWGCCRACCUGAGAAGGUAAUCGGCCACAUUGGGACUGAUACACGGCCCAAACUCCUACGGGAGGCAGCAGUAGGGAAUCUUCCGCAAGGGACGAAAGUCUGAUGGAGCAACGCCGCGUGAGUGAAGAAGGGUUUCGGCUCGUAAAACUCUGUUGUUAAAGAAGAACAUAUCUGAGAGUAACUGUUCAGGUAUUGACGGUAUUUAACCAGAAAUCCACGGCUAACUACGUGCCAGCAACCGCUGUAAUACGUAGGUGGCAAGCGUUGUCCGGAUUUAUUGGGCUUAAAGCGAGCGCAGGCGGUUUUUUAAGUCUGAUGUGAAUGCCUUCUGCUCCACCGAAGAAGUGCUUCGUAAACUGGGGAAACUUGAGUGCAGAACAGGACACUGGAACUCCAUGUGUAUCGUUGAAAUGCGUAGAUAUAUUGGAA
RNAcentral lists this ribosomal RNA (670 nucleotides) under Lactiplantibacillus plantarum. RNAcentral's name for it is "bacterial SSU rRNA". Lineage: Bacteria; Bacillati; Bacillota; Bacilli; Lactobacillales; Lactobacillaceae. The record is from RNAcentral.